Molecule: ribosomal RNA, 253 nt
Filed under: uncultured bacterium
Lineage: Bacteria
Description: partial 16S ribosomal RNA
Rfam family: Bacterial small subunit ribosomal RNA
Source: RNAcentral
UACAGAGGGUGCAAGCGUUGUUCGGAAUUACUGGGCGUAAAGCGCGUGUAGGCUGCAAUGUAAGUCGGAUGUGAAAGCCCUCGGCUUAACCGAGGAAGUGCAUCUGAUACUGCAUCGCUUGAGUGUCGGAGGGGGUGGCGGAAUUCCCGGUGUAGAGGUGAAAUUCGUAGAUAUCGGGAGGAACACCUGUGGCGAAGGCGGCCACCUGGACGAUAACUGACGCUGAGACGCGAAAGCGUGGGUAGCAAACAGG